AUGUUAGUAUACUAUUUUGUUCAGGAUAUACCUAAAGAUCACUAUGAAGAACCGGAAAGACCACGGGCGAUUGUAUCUAAUCAUGUGUCAUAUGUGGACAUUCUUUAUCACAUGUCAGCUUCUUCUCCGAGUUUUGUUGCUAAGAACUCAGUGUCCAAGUUGCCGUUGAUUGGUCUCAUAAGCAAAUGUCUUGGGUGCAUUUUUGUUCAACGAGAAUCCAAAUGUUCAGAUUCUAAAGAUGUCUCAGGUGCUGUAACUGAAAGGCUCCAUGAGGUUUCACAAGACGAGAAUUCCCCUAUGAUCUUACUCUUUCCUGAGGGUACUACUACGAAUGGGGAUUACCUUGUCCCAUUUAAGACAGGAGCCUUUCUUGCAAGGGCACCAUUGCAACCUGUAAUUUUGAGAUAUCCUUAGAGGAGAUUUAGUCCAGCCUGGGACUCCAUGGAUGGGGCACGUCAUGUGUUUUUGCUCCUCUGUCAAUUUGCAAAUUACAUAGAGGUGGUUCGCUUGCCUGUAUACUAUCCUUCUGAGCAAGAAAAGCAGGAUCCUAGAGUCUAUGCCAACAAUGUCAGAAAAUUGCUUGCGACUGAGGGUAAUUUAGUUCUGUCUAAUCUUGGGCUGGCUGAAAAGCGUGUGUAUCAUGCGGCACUUAAUGGACUGUUGUGUCAAAGCUAA
This 675-nucleotide ribosomal RNA is filed under the name Triticum aestivum (bread wheat). RNAcentral describes it as "partial small subunit ribosomal RNA". Lineage: Eukaryota; Viridiplantae; Streptophyta; Magnoliopsida; Poales; Poaceae. The record is from RNAcentral.